UUGUCGGGGGAAGCAAUUCUAUGAACUAUGCGGAGCCUGCUAGUAGAUAGGUUUGGCUCAGCUACAGUUGUCUUUCAUAUAAAGGACAGCAGUUAUGUUUUCACGUUUGACUGCACUGUUUUUCAAAGUUCCUUGUUUUUUGCAUGACCGCUAAUCUUGCUUGAAUGUCACAUGGACGCAAUGUGACUCUAGAUUAAUAAAACAUGACUGUUUUACAGUAUCCACACACACCCAUGAAUAGCCUCACACAUGUGUAAAGUUCCUGGUGUCUCUACAACACUCAAGAGCCAGGCAUAAACCGGAAGACGUCGCUUGGGUCUGCCAGUGGUUACGCUGCUUCAGCAUGUAACCAUCUAUACUCCGAAAGAAACUGCGGAAUGGCGGUUCCGAAGUGCCGUAGCAAUCACGUGAUUAUUAUUAUUAUGACCAU
Ornithodoros turicata is the source of this 430-nucleotide long non-coding RNA. RefSeq lists it as uncharacterized. Lineage: Eukaryota; Metazoa; Arthropoda; Arachnida; Ixodida; Argasidae. The transcript has 2 exons. The record is from RefSeq and is a predicted model, not a curated record.